Spinacia oleracea (spinach) is the source of this 762-nucleotide long non-coding RNA. RefSeq lists it as uncharacterized. The record is from RefSeq and is a predicted model, not a curated record. Lineage: Eukaryota; Viridiplantae; Streptophyta; Magnoliopsida; Caryophyllales; Amaranthaceae. The transcript has 4 exons.
UGUAAUUUAGCUAGUCACAAUUCUCUGAUUUGCAUAAUGAAUCGUAUUCUCCUGAAUUCAGUUUUCAUGAAUGAUCUUGGUAUGUAAACAUUUUCUCAACUUCUAGUCAUUUGACGAGAAGAAUAGGCUUUUUUCCGCACAUUGUGUAAUGCUGAGGUGCCUAAUUUCAGGAAGCACUGCAGGAGUUGCGACAACUGUGUUGAUGGGUUUGAUCAUCAUUGCCGAGCUCCAUUAUCUUUCUGACAGCUUGUAGCUGAAUGUGGUGUGGGAAUUUGGGUCCUUGUUCGUUGCUUAGUUUUUAAAGAGGCCACUGAAUAUCAAAUAAUUGAGAGGCUUGGAGAUGGAUUUCACGCCUGUUUUUGCUACAGUGGUGGUAGUGUAGAUUUAAAGCACUAUUACUCAUCGAGUGUAGUUAUACAUAACUGUAGCUUCAUAUAAACAAGUUGAUGGAAGGAGCCAAGGUGGGUUCUGUUGGUUGGUGGAGCGUGGAGUGUGGAAGAACUUGUUGGCAGCCUCGGAGAAUAGAGGUGGACUAGGAAUAAACAGAGUGAGAGGCGAACAUAUGUCUGUGCCCUCAUUGCUAAGAAUUAUUAUUGUCAAUUUGUUUAAUCUUGUCACAAUUAUGUAGAAUUUUGAGCCUUAUUUUAUUUUGUUAUUUUUAUAUUUUUGGAGAUUACAAUUAAUGUAAAGUGGGAAAUACUUUUUUGGUAAUUGUAAGAAUUAUUUUGGAAUUACCAAAUUGGUUAAAUGCCGAUUUCUUAU